Misgurnus anguillicaudatus (oriental weatherfish) is the source of this 605-nucleotide non-coding RNA. The record is from RefSeq and is a predicted model, not a curated record. Lineage: Eukaryota; Metazoa; Chordata; Actinopteri; Cypriniformes; Cobitidae.
UGUGAAUCAAAAAUAUCAAAACAUUGGACGAGAAAGAGCUAAGUUUAGACCAAACUUUGAAUACGUUAAUGCAGCAGUAAUGGCACUAGAGGGCGAUGCUGGCAAAAUAAUUAAUUGGUAACUUCCUCCUUGUGCAGCAAGUAAAUAAACAAAUAAGUUACAACAAACUUACAUUAAAACAGACGACUGAGUUGAGGAGAAAAAGAUUAGUUUGCUAUGAAAACAUCAGGACUAGUUGAUCAUCUUGCAUACGUCAGAGCAGCUCCUGAGGCCUCUAUUGCUUGAAUAAAUGACUACACGGACCCCUGUGACUGCUUUUAUUGGACCCUAGAGAGAGGUAAAGAUGUUCUGUCAAUCAUUCUGGACGUCCUGAGAUGAGUGUAAAGGACAAAUGCAUUUGUGCUUCUGUGCUGAAUGAGAAAUGUCAGAUUAUGUACUGGCAAUAGUUCAGUGGGGUGGCAGGGCUGACUGUUGCUAUGGUGACGUGUCAGCGGCAUGUUUAUGGGUUGUCUGACCUUAUUUUCGAUGAAGCCAUUAUUACAAACAUCCACAUGCAUACAUCAUUUACUGACACUUGUUAAUACCGCUGGUGUAAUCCAACAUCA